RNAcentral lists this long non-coding RNA (253 nucleotides) under Elaeis guineensis (African oil palm). Its description in RNAcentral is "long non-coding RNA (EGUI_LNC043071)". The record is from RNAcentral. Lineage: Eukaryota; Viridiplantae; Streptophyta; Magnoliopsida; Arecales; Arecaceae.
GCGUGAGCUAUGGGUUCUAGGGUUUCAUCUCUAGGAUUUGUGAGAAGAAAAAUAUAAGAGCGAGUCUUGUCCAAUCUUUCACACCACCACAUCCUUGUAAAACUUCAUCUUCUUAUCUGGAAGAGUUCGGGAGAUCCAAAGAAAAAAGCUUGGAUCAGCCAUUCAGAGCCUUCGAUGCAAGCUAGCACUCCCAUAAAGAAAAAUCCGAUCAGAGCUUCGAGUGGACGAUCUGUAGAGGUCGGAUGAUCUGUGC